Molecule: ribosomal RNA, 589 nt
Filed under: uncultured Bacillus sp.
Lineage: Bacteria; Bacillati; Bacillota; Bacilli; Caryophanales; Bacillaceae
Description: bacterial SSU rRNA
Rfam family: Bacterial small subunit ribosomal RNA
Source: RNAcentral
CCUACGGGAGGCAGCAGUAGGGAAUCUUCCGCAAUGGACGAAAGUCUGACGGAGCAACGCCGCGUGAACGAUGAAGGCCUUCGGGUCGUAAAGUUCUGUUGUCAGAGAAGAACAAGUACCGGAGUAACUGCCGGUACCUUGACGGUACCUGACCAGAAAGCCACGGCUAACUACGUGCCAGCAGCCGCGGUAAUACGUAGGUGGCAAGCGUUGUCCGGAAUUAUUGGGCGUAAAGCGCGCGCAGGCGGUUCCUUAAGUCUGAUGUGAAAGCCCCCGGCUCAACCGGGGAGGGUCAUUGGAAACUGGGGAACUUGAGUGCAGAAGAGGAGAGCGGAAUUCCACGUGUAGCGGUGAAAUGCGUAGAGAUGUGGAGGAACACCAGUGGCGAAGGCGGCUCUCUGGUCUGUAACUGACGCUGAGGCGCGAAAGCGUGGGGAGCGAACAGGAUUAGAUACCCUGGUAGUCCACGCCGUAUACGAUGAGUGCUAAGUGUUAGAGGGUUUCCGCCCUUUAGUGCUGCAGCAAACGCAUUAAGCACUCCGCCUGGGGAGUACGGCCGCAAGGCUGAAACUCAAAUGAAUUGACGGGG